GUGGGGAAUAUUGGGCAAUGGGCGAAAGCCUGACCCAGCAACGCCGCGUGAAGGAAGAAGGCUUUCGGGUUGUAAACUUCUUUUGUCAGGGACGAAAAAAAUGACGGUACCUGACGAAUAAGCCACGGCUAACUACGUGCCAGCAGCCGCGGUAAUACGUAGGUGGCAAGCGUUAUCCGGAUUUACUGGGUGUAAAGGGCGUGUAGGCGGGAAAGCAAGUCAGAUGUGAAAACUAUGGGCUCAACCCAUAGCCUGCAUUUGAAACUGUUUUUCUUGAGUACUGUAGAGGCAGAUGGAAUUCCUAGUGUAGCGGUGAAAUGCGUAGAUAUUAUGCGGAACACCAGUGGCGAAGGCGAUCUGCUGGACAGCAACUGACGCUGAGGAGCGAAAGCGUGGGGAGCAAACAGGAUUAGAUACCCGGGUAGUCC
This 428-nucleotide ribosomal RNA is filed under the name uncultured bacterium. RNAcentral's name for it is "partial 16S ribosomal RNA". It matches the Rfam family "Bacterial small subunit ribosomal RNA", at positions 354 to 796 of the family's 1533-position model. The record is from RNAcentral.